CAGCAGCCACGGUAAUACGAAGGGUGCAAGCGUUAAUCGGAAUUACUGGGCGUAAAGCGUGCGUAGGCGGUGAGUUAAGUCUGCUGUGAAAUCCCCGGGCUCAACCUGGGAAUGGCAGUGGAUACUGGCUCGCUAGAGUGUGUCAGAGGAUGGUGGAAUUCCCGGUGUAGCGGUGAAAUGCGUAGAGAUCGGGAGGAACAUCAGUGGCGAAGGCGGCCAUCUGGGACAACACUGACGCUGAGGCACGAAAGCGUGGGGAGCAAACAGGAUUAGAGACCCCGGUAGUCCCUGUCUCUUAUAC
This 301-nucleotide ribosomal RNA is filed under the name uncultured bacterium. RNAcentral describes it as "partial 16S ribosomal RNA". It matches the Rfam family "Bacterial small subunit ribosomal RNA", at positions 509 to 807 of the family's 1533-position model. The record is from RNAcentral.